AACGCACCUUGCACCCUUUGGUAUUCCGAAGGGUACACCCGUUUGAGUGUCAUUGUAAUCUCACUCCACCAGCUAUUUGUUGAUGGAUGUGGACCUGGACUCUGUUGUGUUACUACAACUGGUCUGAAAUGCAUGAGUGCACCCUGCUAUUGCAGCGUUUUCAGUGUGAUAAGCAUCUUCACUGGACCAAGCUCCCUUGGGACACGCAGCAUUGUGGGCUCUGUGCUGGCAAACUGUCUUUGGACAACUUUGACAAUUUGACCUCAGAUCGGGUGGGACUACCCGCUGAACUUAA
RNAcentral lists this unclassified non-coding RNA (295 nucleotides) under uncultured fungus. RNAcentral describes it as "sequence contains ITS2". The record is from RNAcentral. Lineage: Eukaryota; Fungi.